RNAcentral lists this unclassified non-coding RNA (167 nucleotides) under uncultured Cortinarius. RNAcentral describes it as "sequence contains ITS1". Lineage: Eukaryota; Fungi; Basidiomycota; Agaricomycetes; Agaricales; Cortinariaceae. The record is from RNAcentral.
UUGAAAUAAACCUGAUGGGUUGUUGCUGGUUCUCUAGAGAGCAUGUGCACGCCUUGUCAUCUUUAUAUCUCCACCUGUGCACUCUUUGUAGACCUUUCAGGUCUAUGUUGUCUCUUCAUUUACCCCAAUGUAUGUUAAUAGAAUGUCGUGCCUAUGAAAAAUAUAUA